UACAGAGGUCUCAAGCGUUGUUCGGAUUCAUUGGGCGUAAAGGGCGCGUAGGCGGCGCGGUAAGUCGGGUGUGAAAUCUCGGAGCUUAACUCCGAAACUGCAUUCGAUACUGCCGUGCUUGAGGACUGGAGAGGAGACUGGAAUUUACGGUGUAGCGGUGAAAUGCGUAGAUAUCGUAAGGAAGACCAGUGGCGAAGGCGGGUCUCUGGACAGUUCCUGACGCUGAGGCACGAAGGUUAGGGGAGCAAACGGG
This 253-nucleotide ribosomal RNA is filed under the name uncultured bacterium. Its description in RNAcentral is "partial 16S ribosomal RNA". It matches the Rfam family "Bacterial small subunit ribosomal RNA", at positions 524 to 776 of the family's 1533-position model. The record is from RNAcentral.